Molecule: long non-coding RNA, 400 nt
Organism: Penaeus monodon (black tiger shrimp)
Lineage: Eukaryota; Metazoa; Arthropoda; Malacostraca; Decapoda; Penaeidae
Exons: 3
Source: RefSeq, a predicted model, not a curated record
UCUGAAACGUGGAAGUACUCGCGAAAGUGCUUUGGCUAACUGAAAGAUAUUUUAGUGAUUGUUUUUUAGGUCCUGAGGUCUUGUAUCUUGAGCGAGCUGCCGGAGCGAGGGGCCUCUCUUCGCGCGCUGAAGCUGAGAACGAAUCCCCGUCUGAUGUAUGUGUCCCGGCGUCCGAUGAGUUACACGCGAACCCCGUGGAAAAACUUCACCGUCUGCGUGCGUAAGCUGGAGGGACGCAGGGACUACGCGAUCUGCCCCAGCGAGCCAGGAGACCAUCGCUUUCAACACAUACAGUAGAGAACUCAGCUGAAAACACUAGAAACCGUGGGGUAGUGAUACGGCUCGGGGACUUGAGUAAGUUCUUCCAUCUGGUGGUGUUCUUAGCUUGAAAGCGAGUAAC